UUACGUCGAAAUGGUGUGAAAUCCUUCUACGAAUAUAAGCAGUAUAGCAUUCAGAACUUCUACAAUACUGAGCAAUAUCCGCUGGCGCUAGCAAACUUGACUACCUCAAUCAGUAGCCUCUUUACGCCUUCAACCGAUUGUGGUUGCCAAGCUUGCUAGUGCCAGAGGAUUUCUCUCAGCCAUGAGUAA
Non-coding RNA from Marchantia polymorpha subsp. ruderalis, 189 nucleotides. The record is from the annotation of a GenBank genome assembly. Lineage: Eukaryota; Viridiplantae; Streptophyta; Marchantiopsida; Marchantiales; Marchantiaceae.